UUAGCCAGAAUGUUUCAUAAUCAACAGCAUUGUCAGUCUCCGAGGACGAAAAUAUUCAGGAGCCCUUAUUUCCUAUAGAAUGUGCAUGCAACUGAUCUCACUCUGCUGCUCACCUGCUGGAAGCUGUAGCCCAGGGGUGAAUCCAACUACUGCCUUGCUCUGCCUGCUGUCAGGUGACCGGAACUGCUGUUGGGGUCUGACAGCUGUUUUCUGCUAGCUAGACAACUGGGACCUCUAGUGAGCUGUGAGGUAAACACCACAUACCACAACUAUGCAAGGUCACUGCAGAUAGAGAUCCUCGAUUUAAGAAAUGGUCUGAAUCACUAACAUGGCUUCUCACUGCUCAGGCCAGCUGACUCCCACUGAUUUCAAUGAUCUAUGAAUGAAGCCUCAAGAAACCACCCAAAGUAUAUACCUGAAAUUGUAGCACCGUUAAACUCAAUGGCAUAACUCCCAUUCACCCCAAUGGGCCCAGGAUUUCAGCCAGUGAGCACUACUCUGCUCCUAUUAGAAGCGGAACUGAUCUUUGUUGGACCCUGGAGUGGUCACAUACAUGGCAUACCGUUUAUUUCAAUUCACUUUCAGUUACAAUGAAUUACAUGAUGGCACAUUGAGAGGUAACAUUAACUGUCUUUGACUGCCUCCCAUUAAAACCACAUAUAAAUUCAAGGUAACCGUCAACUUUACUGGAUUGAGUUAAACCUCUGGAAAUAAGGACUUUAAUUGAACACUGAUCAUCAGCUAAAAAUGAAGAAUCCCUUCAGAAAUCAUUUCAGACCACAAGUCACCUACCAUUGUUUAGCAGCUGCUCUUUGUCUUACUGGAGCCUAGAGAUAAAUUGCACAGAGACUGAAUCAGUUUUCUAACCCAAAAUGAGUUGGUCCUUUUGAGUCCUAUGAUCAGUUUUAUAUUGCUCAACUACCGUUAUGGUCUUUGGAAUUCUGGUACAAAUAUUUCUUUCUCAUGCUCUGUAUUUGCUUUACUGUCCACCUUAGACUAUCCUCCCUUCUUAUAUGUUGGUGCCCAGUACUGUGUUCUGUCCUCGCUCGGAUCCUCCAACUGUGACCAUACUCUUCAGAAGAAUAGCUGGAUAGCAAAAUAUUGACUCUGAAUAGAGGGAUCUCAUCUUUAAUUAGAAUAACAGUUAUUUUACCUGAAAAUAUUCAUUUGGGGCAAGUAUGACACUUGCCAAAUGUUAUUGAACAGAGGAUAAUAGGACCUUAAAUACCCCCACUGCCACCUCAUGGGUUAACCACAUCAGCACAGGUAAGACAGCAACCUCUGCAAGGCUGCUACUUGCCUUCCUGAGUAGCAGUGGGAAAUGGGUAGAGAGGCUUGACCUUCUGCCAUCCAAUGUGCCAGUAGAUUUAAGCUGGUGAGGAGGAGGAAACCAACUGUGCUGGUAAAGGGAGAGCUGAAAUUAUUUUCCUCAUGAAAUAGGAUGGAGAAAUGGACCAAACUGUGACUCUGAGUCACAAUUUGUUCCCUGGCCUGCUCCUUUAUUCCAGCUAUUGGGACAAAAAGUUUUUGAAAGUAUGUGUGAGUUUGGGAAAGUUAGAGAAUGAGCAAGAGAUUAAUAUGUCCAGCUUUUCAGUUUUGUUUAGCUUUAGGCUAUAAUGGUAACUGAUCAGGUUACAAUUAAAUGUCACCCUGGUAGUUUAUCAGAAUCAGGCUUCUGUAAAAUCAAAACAGAACAUUUCAGCAAAGGAAGUACGUAUGAUCAGCAAUCAUGUGUCAAUUCCUAACCUCUUGCUAUCAUAACUCCACCAAUCAUUCACACGGACAUUCUGUAAUCUCAUCUCCACCUCUGAGCAUUCAAGGUAUUGUUAGUCACAAGUAAUUUUUCUGAACUGAUGAGCCCAUCUCUAGUCAUAAUCCUACAUUUUUGUUCCAACUUUUACUAAGAAUAUUGUAAAUAUUAAUCUGGUGUUAGGGCAUCUCAGGGCAGAGUUCAAACAGACAUCACCCUUUGGCUCAAGUGGUCAGCCAGAAUUUAAGGCUACCCUGCUAGGGUAGUUUCUGUUAUGAGGAGAAAUCAGUAAUGUGACACAGAUAUAUUCUUGGUGCAAUCUUGUUUAUUUACAAAAAUGUACACAGGGUCCCAUUUGUCUGAACACAGUAGAAACAAAUCAUAGCAGGCAAUUUUCUUGCUCAGAAAUCCCCAGGUCUGCCAUUCGUGUGAGCUCUGUGCCCAAGAAGCAGCUCUGUUUCUUUGCUUCCUCUCACAGUCAUGAUUAAAACUUCUUCUCUAGGCUUUUCUGCUUCCAGCACACACAGGCUAAAAACAAAUAUCCUAGCCCUUGUGUUUGCAACCAGGGAAACCUCUCAGGCCACAUAGCUUAUCUCU
This is a long non-coding RNA of Mauremys mutica (yellowpond turtle), 2347 nucleotides long. RefSeq lists it as uncharacterized. Lineage: Eukaryota; Metazoa; Chordata; Testudines; Geoemydidae. The transcript is spliced from 3 exons. The record is from RefSeq and is a predicted model, not a curated record.